AUUGAACGCUGGCGGCAGGCCUAACACAUGCAAGUCGAACGGUAACAGGAAACAGCUUGCUGUUUCGCUGACGAGUGGCGGACGGGUGAGUAAUGUCUGGGAAACUGCCUGAUGGAGGGGGAUAACUACUGGAAACGGUAGCUAAUACCGCAUAACGUCGCAAGACCAAAGAGGGGGACCUUCGGGCCUCUUGCCAUCGGAUGUGCCCAGAUGGGAUUAGCUAGUAGGUGGGGUAACGGCUCACCUAGGCGACGAUCCCUAGCUGGUCUGAGAGGAUGACCCGCCCCACUGGAACUGAGGAACGGUCCCGACUCCUAACGGGGGCCGCAGUUGGGAAUAAUGGCCAAUGGGGGGAAGCCUGAUGCAACCCUGCCGGGGGUAUGAAGAAGGCCUUCGGGGUUGAAAGUUAUUUUCGCGGGGAUGAAGGGAGUAAAGUUAAUACCUUUGCUCAUUGACGUUACCCGCAGAAGAAGCACCGGCUAACUCCGUG
Molecule: ribosomal RNA, 490 nt
Filed under: uncultured bacterium
Lineage: Bacteria
Description: partial 16S ribosomal RNA
Rfam family: Bacterial small subunit ribosomal RNA
Source: RNAcentral